AGUGAACGCUGGCGGCGUGCCUAAUACAUGCAAGUCGAACGGAGUGGCGCACGGGUGAGUAAUAUAUAGCUAAUCUGCCCCUUGCUGGAGGACAACCGAUAGAAAUGACUGCUAAUACCCCAUAGCAAGGGAUGAGACUAUAUCGUAUCAGCUAGUCGGUGGGGUAACGGCCUACCGAGACUAUGACGCGUAACUGGUCUGAGAGGAUGAUCAGUCGACUUGGAACUGAGGCACGGGCCAAAAACAUUCUGCAGGGAGCGGAAGGGAAUUACGCGCAAUGGGCGAGACCGUUGCGCAGCUACGGCGCGUGGAGGACGACACUUUGCGAAGCGUAAACUCCUUUUGAUAGGGAAGCGUUACCUAACGAAUAAGCACCGGCUAACUCCGUGCCAGCAGCCGCGGUAAUAC
This 408-nucleotide ribosomal RNA is filed under the name uncultured bacterium. RNAcentral describes it as "partial 16S ribosomal RNA". It matches the Rfam family "Bacterial small subunit ribosomal RNA", at positions 29 to 526 of the family's 1533-position model. The record is from RNAcentral.